UCACUACGGAAUAGCUCUUGGAAACGAGUGGUAAUACCGUAUACGCCCUUCGGGGGAAAGAUUUAUCGGUGAAAGAUCGGCCCGCGUUAGAUUAGCUAGUUGGUAGGGUAAUGGCCUACCAAGGCGACGAUCUAUAGCUGGUCUGAGAGGAUGAUCAGCCACACUGGGACUGAGACACGGCCCAGACUCCUACGGGAGGCAGCAGUGGGGAAUCUUGCACAAUGGGCGAAAGCCUGAUGCAGCCAUGCCGCGUGAAUGAUGAAGGCCUUAGGGUUGUAAAAUUCUUUCGCUAGGGAUGAUAAUGACAGUACCUAGUAAAGAAGCCCCGGCUAACUUCGUGCCAGCAGCCGCGGUAAUACGAAGGGGGCUAGCGUUGUUCGGAAUUACUGGGCGUAAAGCGCACGUAGGCGGACUUUUAAGUCAGAUGUGAAAUCCCGGGGCUCAACCUCGGAACUGCAUUUGAAACUGGAAGUCUAGAGACCAGGAGAGGUUAGCGGAAUACCGAGUGUAGAGGUGAAAUUCGUAGAUAUUCGGUGGAACACCAGUGGCGAAGGCGGCUAACUGGACUGGUACUGACGCUGAGGUGCGAAAGUGUGGGGAGCAAACAGGAUUAGAUACCCUGGUAGUCCACACCGUAAACGAUGAGAGCUAGUUGUUGGCAGGCAUGCCUGUCGGUGACGCAGCUAACGCAUUAAGCU
Molecule: ribosomal RNA, 698 nt
Filed under: Hyphomonas sp. MOLA 306
Lineage: Bacteria; Pseudomonadati; Pseudomonadota; Alphaproteobacteria; Hyphomonadales; Hyphomonadaceae
Description: bacterial SSU rRNA
Rfam family: Bacterial small subunit ribosomal RNA
Source: RNAcentral